RNAcentral lists this ribosomal RNA (497 nucleotides) under uncultured bacterium. RNAcentral describes it as "partial 16S ribosomal RNA". It matches the Rfam family "Bacterial small subunit ribosomal RNA", at positions 28 to 507 of the family's 1533-position model. The record is from RNAcentral.
GAUGAACGCUGGCGGCGUGCCUAAUACAUGCAAGUCGAGCGAACGGACGAGAAGCUUGCUUCUCUGAUGUUAGCGGCGGACGGGUGAGUAACACGUGGAUAACCUACCUAUAAGACUGGGAUAACUUCGGGAAACCGGAGCUAAUACCGGAUAAUAUUUUGAACCGCAUGGUUCAAAAGUGGAAGACGGUCUUGCUGUCACUUAUAGAUGGAUCCGCGCUGCAUUAGCUAGUUGGUAAGGUAACGGCUUACCAAGGCAACGAUGCAUAGCCGACCUGAGAGGGUGAUCGGCCACACUGGAACUGAGACACGGUCCAGACUCCUACGGGAGGCAGCAGUAGGGAAUCUUCCGCAAUGGGCGAAAGCCUGACGGAGCAACGCCGCGUGAGUGAUGAAGGUCUUCGGAUCGUAAAACUCUGUUAUUAGGGAAGAACAUAUGUGUAAGUAACUGUGCACAUCUUGACGGUACCUAAUCAGAAAGCCACGGCUAACUACGUG